CGUGUCGCGCAUAUCUGCAUAUCAAUAAGCGGAGGAAAAGAAACUAACAAGGAUUCCCUUAGUAACGGCGAGUGAAGCGGGAAGAGCUCAAAUUUGAAAAUCUUCAAGGUUCUACCUUGACGAAUUGUAGUUUAAAGAAGUGUUUUCUGUUAGAUGAGUAGCAAAAGUUCCUUGGAAUGGGACAUCAUAGAGGGUGAGAAUCCCGUAUUUGGUUAUUCAUUCUAGCUUUGUGAUACACUUUCAAAGAGUCGGAUUGUUUGGGAAUGCAGUCCAAAAUGGGUGGUAAAUUUCAUCUAAAGCUAAAUAUUGGCGAGAGACCGAUAGCGAACAAGUACCGUGAGGGAAAGAUGAAAAGAACAUUGAAAAGAGAGUUAAACAGUACGUGAAAUUGUCAAAAGGGAAGCGUUUUGACACCAGUGUUGUUUUUCCGAAAAUCAAUUACGAAUGGCUUGAUUUUGUGUUGUAUUGACCUUAUCAGCUUUCUGCACUUUUUUCGAGUCUUUCUUAAUGCACUUUUCGGUUAACAAAGUCAACAUCAAUUUCUUUUGUUGUAAAAGAGUAUUCGGAAGGUGGCUUUCUUUUCGGAGAAAGUGUUUAUAGCUCUAUACUUCUACAAUCGGAGAGAUUGAGGUCUGCAGCGUAGAUCCUUCGGGGUUAGAUACACUUGUGCUGAGUUGUAGCUUUUCAUAGACAACUUGUUGACUAUGUUUAGUCAUGCGGCUUACUCGCUUGUGCUAUUUUACCUACGCUUAGGAUGUUGACGAUCAGCUGAGCGCG
Molecule: ribosomal RNA, 777 nt
Filed under: uncultured Neocallimastigales
Lineage: Eukaryota; Fungi; Neocallimastigomycota; Neocallimastigomycetes; Neocallimastigales
Description: partial large subunit ribosomal RNA
Rfam family: Eukaryotic large subunit ribosomal RNA
Source: RNAcentral